Molecule: ribosomal RNA, 425 nt
Filed under: uncultured bacterium
Lineage: Bacteria
Description: bacterial SSU rRNA
Rfam family: Bacterial small subunit ribosomal RNA
Source: RNAcentral
GUGGGGAAUCUUGCACAAUGGGGGAAACCCUGAUGCAGCGACGCCGCGUGAGCGAUGAAGCCCUUCGGGGUGUAAAGCUCUUUCGACGGGAACGAUGAUGACGGUACCCGGAGAAGAAGCUGCGGCUAACUACGUGCCAGCAGCCGCGGUAAUACGUAGGCAGCAAGCGUUGUUCGGAGUUACUGGGCGUAAAGAGUAUGUAGGCGGUUCUGCAAGUUUGGUGUGAAAUCUCCCGGCUUAACUGGGAGGGUGCGCCGAAAACUGCAGGGCUAGAGUGCGGGAGAGGAGAGCGGAAUUCCUGGUGUAGCGGUGAAAUGCGUAGAUAUCAGGAGGAACACCGGCGGUGUAGACGGCUCUCUGGACCGUUACUGACGCUGAGAUACGAAAGCGUGGGGAGCAAACAGGAUUAGAAACCCUUGUAGUCC